This is a long non-coding RNA of Sorghum bicolor (sorghum), 1433 nucleotides long. RefSeq lists it as uncharacterized. NCBI's taxonomy places the organism in Eukaryota, Viridiplantae, Streptophyta, Magnoliopsida, Poales, Poaceae. The record is from RefSeq and is a predicted model, not a curated record. The transcript is spliced from 2 exons.
UCCCAAUUCCCACCCCCACACCAAAAGGGACCCGCAACUAAACAGAGGAUUUGGCACAAUGCCACCACACAAGGUUAUCAUCAGAGAGUAAGAAAUAAAUGCCGUCGACUUCGAGGAGCGUCAGAGUGAUCGAAGGACUCUUGUCACCACUCACACACACCACACCACAAGAUCUGAAUGCCGACUUCGGACGUCGCAAUUCUUCAGACUCCAUAGUUUGAGAUCCUGGACGGACUUGAUGAAUGACAAUCAGGCAAGGGCGCAAGGAUCUGUCUAUGCUUCGUUGGAGCAACAUACUCCUAUCUGCGUGCCCAUGGAGCCGGCGGCCUCUUAGCCCCAAUCAACGGGCAGAUUGGGAGGGUUUGCCAGGACCUCACCUCACGCCGGGACCGAUGUCCGUAAUUUCUGCAGUAUGCGUGCAUUUGCAUUCCAAUUGCUACUACUGUCAUGUCAAAUCACUGUAUGAUGUGCUAGGUGAUUGUUGGUAAGAUUGCGGUAGGGAGGAGGGGGACAUUAGCGGGAAGAUUGAGAAGACUGUCAGGUGCCAAAGCAAGCCCAGGCAUAUUUUACUAGGCGUCCUGUAUAGUAUUCGCUCCAGAGUCCAGACGCACAUGGAUCCUACCUCGUGUUUGCAACCAGGUAGUAGAGACAAGUCGCGGAAACCAACGUUUAUCUCUGUACUCUUGUCGGGUCAACGGUUAGUACAAACGUCCCUAGCAAUUGCUAGUACUAUUAAUUUGGUGAUCAUUGUUGCCGCUUGCUUCUUAAUGAUGCCAAAUCCAAACUAAAUCUAGAGUACCAGUAACAUGGCCUGUGUAAGUGUGUACUGCUGAUAUCGUCCUGGGUAACUAUUGUUCAGCAGGGGUGGGAUUUCUGGAAAGCAUGCUCACCGGAUCGAUCAGAGGGUACGUUGGAAGUAGAAUUGAAUAAUCCGAUUUUUAAUUACCAGGAUCGAUGCUGAGAUUUACUCAGAGGGCAGCAGGAGCGCUCUUUUGAUAGCUUGCAGAGGAUUGCAGUCGCAGUGCUGUCUGCGCUUCAGCGCUUUGGUUACAGUUCGCUGCAUGCCCUUCGAUCGGGUGCCGGCAAAUUGUGAACGGCAAACUGCACCACUCCUCCCAGCUAGCCCAGUAUAUACCAACACACACCGGCCAUAUUAAUUUCUGCUCGACCAACAUCGCGGCGUGCAUGCCAUGGUCUAUCUGAAAUCGCUUUGAGGUUCGGGUCGAUGAGGCGGCCAAUCCUACAAGCUUGCUCGAUCGGUUGCUCCCAAGAUACAUAGCAGCUCCCAUGUGACCGAUCGAUGCCGAAUUGCCGAUGCGAUGCAAUGUGAGACAGCAGUGGGAGUUGAGAAACGAGGAUGGCUAUAAUAGAUAUGUACUCCCUCCAUACCUAAAUUAAUUGACGUCCUAGGCUUAAGAUGUGUUUUCGCAAAA